Molecule: long non-coding RNA, 981 nt
Filed under: Homo sapiens (human)
Lineage: Eukaryota; Metazoa; Chordata; Mammalia; Primates; Hominidae
Description: HSALNT0070480
Source: RNAcentral
CACAGCUCCAAUUAAUUCAUGAGACGUCACUUACUCGGGGAGAAUAUGCACUCACCAAGCUGAAACAGGGUGCCGCUGCCCACCGCACGCGAAAGCAGGACUCAGAAAGGAGGAGGGAAGCAUGUGUUGUCCCCACCAGGGCCGCGUAUUUUCACAGCAAAAUCCAGUUAGGAGAUACAUGCAGACUGUCUUUUCUGAACAGAAUGCACUUACCCCAGCACGCAGCUCUCCCGGGGUCCACUUCCCUUAGCAGCUGAACAAAUUCUCAGGGAAAGCCCCUGACCACGGAGGAGCCUGCGCGAUCACUUUCAGUCACCGUUUCCAAUCUGUUUCCGAAAGGAGUUCUUCCCUAAAUGUGUGUUUUUCCACACAUACAAACCAAACCAAUCUUAGUGGGUUUAUUUUUGUAAAGGGAAGGGAGAACCUGUCACGUCGAAAUAGCUACAAAGCCCAUCGAAAACUUAGACACUGUGGGGUCUAGUUAAAACCUGUGUUUUAACUAAUAUCCCCAUGGUCAGGUAAUGAGAGCCAGGGCCAGCCUUCUGAGUUGCACAAAACCAGCUGCAGCUACCCCUGGUGAAUGAGAAUAGGCACUUCAGAGGACACAAAAAUCCAGGAGCUGGUAAGGAGCUCUUCUUGCACAUGGUCACUUUCAGGGUCAACUCGAGGGAAGAAAAUUCUGCAACGUUUAGAACUUGGAGAAACACUCUUGAUUCGAUGCGGUUCGGGUUGUGCAGACUGACGGAACUUCAUCUGUCCUUCAUUCAUUCCCUCUUUCAUCAAAUGUUUAUUGAGCACAUACUUUGCUGAAGGCCUGGUUCUGGGGCUCUUGGAGGAUGGAUCCAAAGCCUGCGGCCUGGAAUGAAACAUUCAAUGAAUUCCUUUUCUCUCUCUCUCUUCAGGUCUGUGUGCCAGGCCCAGUGUCAGGCUCUGCCUGGGUACCUUAUGAUUCCCACUCCCAGAAGCUUAGGGUGCAAAUCA